GACGAACGCUGGCGGCGUGCUUAACACAUGCAAGUCGAACGGAAAGGCCCUGCUUUUGUGGGGUGCUCGAGUGGCGAACGGGUGAGUAACACGUGAGUAACCUGCCCUUGACUUUGGGAUAACUUCAGGAAACUGGGGCUAAUACCGGAUAGGAGCUCCUGCUGCAUGGGGGGGGUUGGAAAGUUUCGGCGGUUGGGGAUGGACUCGCGGCUUAUCAGCUUGUUGGUGGGGGAGUGGCUUACCAAGGCUUUGACGGGUAGCCGGCCUGAGAGGGUGACCGGCCACAUUGGGACUGAGUGACGGCCCAGGCUCCUACGGGAGGCAGCAGGGGGGACUGUGGCUCAAUGGGCGGAGGCCUGAUGCAGCAACGCCGCGUGCGGGAGGACGGCCUUCGGGUGGUAAACCGCUUUCGCCUGUGACGAAGCGUGAGGGGCGGUACUGGGUAAAGAAGCACCGGCUAACUACGU
Molecule: ribosomal RNA, 467 nt
Filed under: uncultured bacterium
Lineage: Bacteria
Description: partial 16S ribosomal RNA
Rfam family: Bacterial small subunit ribosomal RNA
Source: RNAcentral